This 803-nucleotide long non-coding RNA is filed under the name Homo sapiens (human). RNAcentral describes it as "HSALNT0305909". The record is from RNAcentral. Lineage: Eukaryota; Metazoa; Chordata; Mammalia; Primates; Hominidae.
CUCAUUGGGGAUUCUGGGGUUAUAAUACAGGAAUUGUGGGUAAGUACAGUCACUUCUGCUCCAUGAAAGUGAGGUCAUCAUUCGUUUCAGGAAGUUGAGUGAGGCCUGAGACAGCAAUGUUUCGUUUAGCCUGGCGGUGGCCCUCCUUGUCUUCAAGAAGAGCAUCCGUGGCUAGCAGUGGAAGAUGGGGUUGGGCCCCAGGUGAGUGACCCUUUGUCGAGUUUGCAGAAUUUGGUCUUGGCGGGUUGAGGAUCUCUUGUAUUUUGUGCGCUCUGUUCCUGCUCCAGGACUGACCAGGCAGUUCUGCCACCUUCUAGGAGUGUGAAAUUGGGAAGUAAUUCAAAAUGUAUGUGCCUAGCAUUCCUUUUAUGUAACAUGAGGGGAAUAGAAGUACCAAACCGAUGCAGUUCAGUGGAGAAUUAAAUGAGAUAGUCACAAGUAAAAGGUGGUAAGUGUGGUUCAUUUUAUUAAUUUUCUUUUAAUUUCCCGAGAAGCCCCAGUUACCUGAAAGCUUCUGUGAGCCUGGGAAGGGAUCAGAGUUCCACCUGCAGUGCUAUUUUGCCCCUUCUUUCUGAUCCUUACAGGAAGCAGGACGAUUCCUGGAUUCCCUUUUUAAAAAAAUGGUCACAGGAAUGAGGAAAGAAUGACUCUGGCUCCUAGCAGCAGAAUCUUAACUGAGUAUGACUUAGCAUCCUUCUUCUUGCUGUGUCAUCUCUCUUCUCAGGGCAGAAGAUAUUUACUAAUUAGCACAUUCUGCUAGCACAUCUGUGGGAAAAGAGACGCGAUCUUACUGCAUUGACCAG